This 253-nucleotide ribosomal RNA is filed under the name uncultured bacterium. RNAcentral's name for it is "partial 16S ribosomal RNA". It matches the Rfam family "Bacterial small subunit ribosomal RNA", at positions 524 to 776 of the family's 1533-position model. The record is from RNAcentral.
UACGGAGGAUCCAAGCGUUAUCCGGAUUUAUUGGGUUUAAAGGGUGCGUAGGCGGCUUAUUAAGUCAGAGGUGAAAGACGGUGGCUCAACCAUCGCAGUGCCUUUGAUACUGAUGAGCUUGAAUAGACCUGAGGUAGGCGGAAUGUGACAAGUAGCGGUGAAAUGCAUAGAUAUGUCACAGAACACCAAUUGCGAAGGCAGCUUACUAAAGUCUUAUUGACGCUGAGGCACGAAAGCGUGGGGAUCAAACAGG